CGUGAGCCCUGUCAUUUGGGCUGCUGCGCUUGGGCUUCUAUUCCCUCAAGUGAGACUAUCAGAAGGAGUCCGCAUUUUUCAAUAGAGCAGCACGACAUUAAGCGGAUGGUUUCUGAACACUGGCACUUCAGACUGUGAGGUCUCUGUGGGUGGGUUUUAUGCCGUGCUCUUUGGUUGCUGGAAUAGAAAUCCCACGGGAAUCGUGUAGCAGCAGCAGACUUUGUGGAUAGCAAAGAGGAUUAUGUGAGGACAUUGGGAAGAGAAGACUUUGUUCGGUUGUAGAAGAUUCUGUUACAUCCUUCCUCAAAGACAAUGAUUACCACUUACUCGUGGUGCAUUUGCAUACCUUCAAAAAUCCAAGAAAGGAAACGGAGUCCUCUCCACUGAAGAUCUACUCUAAGGGAUCUGCUGCCUCCAUUCAGACACAACUAUCUGGAAGCUUCUCAAGACUGAAAAAAGUUACAUCUCACUAGCUACACGACAAUAUGUAAAGUAUUUGGCAAUGUGCCUUGUUAAGCAUUAAAGAAAUGGCAGUUAUUAUUAAGCUGUCACUAUUUUGAAGUUUUGCAUUUUUUGACAUUGAAAAUAUAAGAUGAAACAAAUAGUAAAAUAAGGGAAGAGGAGGUUCAUCAAUGUAUAUUUUGCAAAUACUUAGGGUUUUUUUUUAGCUGUUUCUUUUUAAAAAUUCUGGAUAUCAUUAAAUGCUGGUGGUGACUUUUUAUCAUGCAGGAAGAAAUAUGUGAGUUCUAUUUGUCACAGAACACUAAAUCCCCAGGAAAAGGGACUACAAUUCUCUAAGUCUCUUAUGCUUACUUCAAACCUGUGUUAGACUAUUGAGUUAAGGACAACUCUGUCCAUACACACUGAAUUAGCAAGCAAGUAACUUUUCUCUAAGGACUUGUUUUUCCCAACCUCACUUGAUUCUGUUCUGAAGCAUAAAGUUGCUUAAUAAUUACAGUAACAGAUGAUAUUUUUAGCCAUAUGUCCAAUUCUAUUAAAAUUUUAUGAGUUAGUCACAUUGUAUAAAAUUCCCAUGAGUAAAGUUACAUAAAAGCAAUGGGAGGAGGUUAUUAACGGUUAGUGGAAUGCUGGAGAAAAAUCUUACAUAAAAAUGUCUGCAUUUUGUUCCUAAUGUAUAAUGGCAUAUACCCCAGUCCUCUGCUUAACAUUAUGUGUUUGGUGCCCUUUCGUGAUGC
This 1196-nucleotide long non-coding RNA is filed under the name Homo sapiens (human). RNAcentral describes it as "HSALNT0328415". Lineage: Eukaryota; Metazoa; Chordata; Mammalia; Primates; Hominidae. The record is from RNAcentral.